RNAcentral lists this ribosomal RNA (470 nucleotides) under uncultured bacterium. Its description in RNAcentral is "bacterial SSU rRNA". It matches the Rfam family "Bacterial small subunit ribosomal RNA", at positions 38 to 507 of the family's 1533-position model. The record is from RNAcentral.
GGCGGAAUGCUUACACAUGCAAGUCGAACGGUAGAGGGGGCAACCCUUGAGAGUGGCGAACGGGUGAGUAAUAUAUCGGAACGUGCCCAGUCGGUGGGGGAUAACGUAGCGAAAGCUACGCUAAUACCGCAUACGAUCUAUGGGAUGAAGCGGGGGAUCGCAAGACCUCGCGCGAUUGGAGCGGCCGAUAUCAGAUUAGGUAGUUGGUGAGGUAAAGGCUCACCAAGCCGACGAUCUGUAGCUGGGUCUGAGAGGACGACCAGCCACACUGGGACUGAGACACGGCCCAGACUCCUACGGGAGGCAGCAGUGGGGAAUUUUGGACAAUGGGCGCAAGCCUGAUCCAGCAAUGCCGCGUGCAGGAUGAAGGCCUUCGGGUUGUAAACUGCUUUUGUACGGAACGAAACGGUGAGCUCUAAUACAGUUUGCUAAUGACGGUACCGUAAGAAUAAGCACCGGCUAACUACGUG